Non-coding RNA from Doryrhamphus excisus (bluestripe pipefish), 2166 nucleotides. The record is from RefSeq and is a predicted model, not a curated record. Lineage: Eukaryota; Metazoa; Chordata; Actinopteri; Syngnathiformes; Syngnathidae.
CCUCAUUGCAGCAGUCGCUGACCACACUAACAAUCCAAGUCAUCCAACUUGAAAGCAGUCUUUAAAAGCUUUUUUUUAAUUCUUCUUCCUGACCACGCUCUUACUUUUGGAAUGUGAUAGCGUUUUCUCCUGGUCAUGACCUGUCUCAGCUCUCUGUCGCCACCUGAUGGCUGCUCGAAGUAGCACUUGUUCCGGAGUUGGCUUUCAUCAUCACAUUGAACCUCCAAAAAUCCUUCCACUGUGAAGAGGAAAACGGAGUACCCGGAGAAAACCCACGCAUGCACGGGGAGAACAUGCAAACUCCACACAGAGAUGGCCGAGGGUGGAAUUGAACUCGGGUCUCCUAGCUGUGAAGUCUGCGCGCUAACCACUCGACCACCGUGCAGCCUUGGCGAGAGCUGGUUAUUUCAUCCAGAAUGAGGACCUGUGGCUGCCGAACCAUCGCUCGAGCAAUGGCGAUCCGCUGCCGUUCACUCUUGGACAACAGGCUGCCCCCCUCGCCCACCUCUGAGAAAACGCAUCAAAACCCUUUCUCCAGCUGUGUGAUGAAGUCGUGGGCGUUGGCCUGGCGAGCUGCUUCCUGGACGGCAUCCAUGGAGCAGACAUCAAUCCCGUAGGCGAUGUUGUGUCUGACUGUGCCAGAGAAGAGCACCGGCUCCUGGCUGACCAAGGCGAUCUGUCAAAACACCCCCAGCUGUCAGGAGUGGGAGUUGGCUUUUGGGCCUUCACCUUCUUGCUGAGGAAGUGGUGAUCGUAGGAUUCCAGUGGAGCAUCGUCCAACAGGAUCUGGCCAUCCAGCGGCUCGUACCAGCGCUUCAGCAAAGAGGCACAGGUACUCUUUCCCUCUCCCGAGGGGCCCACCAACGCCGUCAUCUGACCCGCUUUCAGCUCCAAAGAGAAGUCCUGGCGGGAAACAUGUUUGCCUUCAUGCUUGAGUGCAGCGUUCAUACAAUGACGUGUCAGACCCACCUGGAGCACAGGUACGUUGGGGCGUGUCGGGUAGACGAAGUUCAGAUGUCGGAAGACCACGUGUCCCUUAAGCUGAUCGGGUGCUUGUUCCCCUUUGGUGCUGACCUGAGGUUCUCGAUCCAGAUACUCAAAGACUUUAGCAGCGGCCCCGACUGAGUUGACCAUAUUGCAGCUGAUGUAGAUCAGUGCCUGACGGGACACAUUAUCAGCAGACAUUAAAGCUGGAAUGGGAUGCCACCAUCUCGCUUUGAAGGACACAGUUCAGUUCCAUUUUGGGUUCAUUAGAGCCGUGAUUUUCAACCUUUUUUGAGCCACGGCACGUUUUUUACAUUGGAAAAAUCUUGUGCCACACCACUAACCAAAAAUGUUACAAAAUGUCACCGCGACCUCACACGUGCAUCAAUAAGUCUAUCGGAGGAACAAGGUAGGUGUUGCCACACGGACCAAUAUUACAUUGCUCUGCCAGUCUUUACACCACAGACACUCCACAGUAGCCACGUUUUUACAUGACCACUUUUUCUCUUUCCGAAUGACCUUUUGGGAAACAAUGGUAUCCAUGGAAAGAAAUAUUCCAAUCUCUUGUCUACAUGCGCCGUGAAAAUCCAACAGAAUAGUCAAUGGGUCAUGUGCGGUAAAACGUAAGCAUCAACAUCACGUGAUACCGACUUCCCCGAGUUAUUCUUUCACUUGUUGGAAUAACUCCGUAUUGCCAGUUUUUCGUCUGUCCAGUCUUGAAAUUUAGUUUGAAUCAAAAACAAACUUGGCUUAGUCCAGUGCCGAUUGCUGGCCUCCAUUUUUAAAAGUGAAGAACGUCUGGAUCUGCGUGUUACGUCAUAUCUGAGCAUGCGCUGAAAGAACGCACCCGGGAUCAAUUUAAACAGGAAAAGAUCAAAUUCAAUCUUGCUAAUAUUUUAUAAUUCAACUCGGGACAUGUUUUAUAUAGAUAUAUAUUUUCUUUUUGAAUAAAACUGGACUUGUGAAUAAAGUAUAGAAGGGUUUAGAUUCUGUUCCACAGAUGGUGGUAAUGCACACGAAAGCCGCUUUCCAACCGCCAAUAAACAACAGAAGAAGAAAAACACCACGAAGAAGAACGCACCCUGACAAAUUUCCGUUUGAUACCUGAAUUGGAUUGGUGAAAGGAAUAUUCCAUCCCUGUUCAAUUCUUUCCGUUUGCGCAAAUAUACCAAAUGCAAUUGG